Molecule: small RNA, 826 nt
Filed under: Pongo abelii (Sumatran orangutan)
Lineage: Eukaryota; Metazoa; Chordata; Mammalia; Primates; Hominidae
Description: retained intron
Source: RNAcentral
CUUUCCCAUGGUCACACAGUAGUGACAGGUGGAGCCAGCCCACACCCAGUCUUCUGAUGCCACUCCUUUGCAGAGGCUGUAUGUCCUUCUCUGUCCCUGCCCCUGCGCCCUCCUCCUGCCCACCAGACCCUUCUCUGGGAUAUCCCCCUAGUUUGGUUGCUGCGGGGUCAACGGGCCUGAAGACUUUAAGUUUGCAUCUGUGUUUCGACUCCUGACCCUGGAUAGUGAAGAGGUGCCGGAGGCCUGCUGCCGGAGGGAACCCCAAAGUCGGGAUGGGGUCCUGCUGAGCCGGGAGGAGUGUCUCCUGGGAAGAAGCCUGUUCCUAAACAAGCAGGUUCUCAGCCUGGGCCCAAAGAAUAUGCAGACUCCUAUAAAGGAAGGAAAGUUCUCCCACUUUGAAAAUAUGUGUCAUUCAAAGGCUGUUACACGGUGAUCCUCAACACCUUCGAAACCUACGUCUACUUGGCCGGAGCCCUUGCCAUCGGGGUACUGGCCAUUGAGCUUUUCGCCAUGAUCUUUGCCAUGUGCCUCUUCCGGGGCAUCCAGUAGAGGGUGUGGCCUGAAGCCUGAAGACUCGCCCCACCCACCACUGCCCAGCACCCAAUGUCCUCCCGUGCCCCUCCCUGCUGUCCUCUUGGCCCCAGGGGAGAAGAUGAGCCAUCAGAGAUGGCCAGGAGAAGGGUCAGGGGAAUAGAGCUAUUUUUUUAACAAAACAAAACGAAGACAAAAAUAUGGACUGACGUAUCCGCGCCUGGACUCAGGGCAGGUGCCAUGGGUUCUCCAGAGACCCCAGCACCUGGCCCAGGAUGCAGGCUGCUCUAGAGAC